AGAGCAAGUUGAGGACAGUGACUUCCACAUGAUUUACGGAAACGAUGACACCAGUCCCUGUGGAACCCCCCAGAUGAGCUCUCCUUCUACAAGUACAUCCUCCUUGCCUUUGAUGCAACCAAGUCAAGAGGAUUUGCUCCAACAGCGUUUGGUCUUCAGAAGAACUCUGCUGUCCAUCUGGAAGAUGGUGACUGGACACAGAUUCAGUGGACCUUUCUUGAAGGCUGUUUCGGAGAGGCAGGCUCCUGGUUACAAUGAAG
Molecule: non-coding RNA, 260 nt
Organism: Anolis sagrei ordinatus
Lineage: Eukaryota; Metazoa; Chordata; Lepidosauria; Squamata; Anolidae
Source: RefSeq, a predicted model, not a curated record